This 509-nucleotide ribosomal RNA is filed under the name uncultured bacterium. RNAcentral's name for it is "bacterial SSU rRNA". It matches the Rfam family "Bacterial small subunit ribosomal RNA", at positions 29 to 526 of the family's 1533-position model. The record is from RNAcentral.
AGUGAACGCUGGCGGCAGGCCUAAUACAUGCAAGUCGAACGGCAGCACAGCAGAGCUUGCUCUGUGGGUGGCGAGUGGCGGACGGGUGAGGAAUACAUGGGAAUCUGCCCAGUCGUGGGGGAUAACGUAGGGAAACUUACGCUAAUACCGCAUGCGCCCUUCGGGGGAAAGCCGGGGACCUUCGGGCCUGGCGCGAUUGGAUGAGCCCAUGUCGGAUUAGCUAGUUGGCGGGGUAAUGGCCCACCAAGGCGACGAUCCGUAGCUGGUCUGAGAGGAUGAUCAGCCACACUGGAACUGAGACACGGUCCAGACUCCUACGGGAGGCAGCAGUAGGGAAUAUUGGACAAUGGGCGCAAGCCUGAUCCAGCCAUGCCGCGUGAGUGAAGAAGGCCCUCGGGUUGUAAAGCUCUUUUGUCCGGAAAGAAAAGCAUCCAGUUAAUACCUGGGUGUCCUGACGGUACCGGAAGAAUAAGCACCGGCUAACUUCGUGCCAGCAGCCGCGGUAAUAC